Molecule: long non-coding RNA, 1207 nt
Organism: Daphnia magna
Lineage: Eukaryota; Metazoa; Arthropoda; Branchiopoda; Diplostraca; Daphniidae
Exons: 5
Source: RefSeq, a predicted model, not a curated record
AGCGCGAGCGCUAGCGAGAGCACGCUCACUUUUUUUUUUGCGAGCGAGAGCUGAGCUACGCUCACUUUUCAGCACUGAGCGGAAAGCUCUGAGCGUGCUCUCAAAUCAGUAAGCUACUCCCAACUCUGGGUGGGGUUGAAAGAAUAUCAGGAAAAUGCUUCCUCGUUGCUGUCCCAGAUAGAUCUCCUGAUACCCUACUGGAUAUAAUCAAAGAAUGGAUAUUGCCUGGAUCUAUAAUAAUAUCGGAUUGCUGGAAAGCAUAUGAUAAGAUAGAGGAACAUAAUGAAUAUAUCCAUUUAAAAGUUAACCAUAGUUUACAUUUUAAAGAUCCCGAAACUGGAGCGCAUACUAAUCAAAUAGAGGGAUUGUGAAAUUUAGCAAAAAAAAAGUCUUCCGAACACAAAUACGAGUAAAAAAUUGUUUGCGGGUAAUUUAGCAUCUUUUAUGUUGCGCACGAAAUGGAAGGGCAAAGAUGGUUUUAAAUUAUUCAUGCAAUAUGCGGCAAAACUAUAUUCUGAACAUUCUGUUAGAGAAGAAACUGACGCAAAGCAAAUGAAGGAUUUGGAAUAGGAGUUUCAUCUACUAUCCAUGUAGAAUCGAAAAGAUUUGGUGAAUCAAUUGUGAAGAAUAAUUUAGUACCUCAUUUUUUGCUGGGGUGGAAUAAAGUGGAUGAUGUGAUGGUAUUUCAGUUGAUACAUUAGUUAUUUCUGUACAGUUUACUAUUGUGUUUGCUAUCAGUUCCUUCAAUUAGUUUAGAUCAGUUUUAGAGUUAAUGAAUGUUUAAAUAAUACAAUAGUUAUAUUUACACCGGUUAGAUUAGAAACAAAAAGAUUUGGUGAAUAAAUUAUGAAGGUACAUUCAGCUUGUUAUAAUUUAAUGGUGCUAAACUUAAAAAUUUUCUAUUGUAGAAUAAUUGAGUACCUCAUUUUUUGCUGGUGUGGAAUACAGUGGAUGAUGUGAUGGUAUUUCAGUUGAUACAUUAGUUGGUAUUUCAGUUGAUACAUUAGUUAUUUCUGUACAGUGUAAUAUUGUGUUUGCUAUCUGUUCCUUAAAUUAGUUUAGAUAAUAUUUAUUGUUUAUGAAUGUUAAAAUAAUACAAUAGUUAUAUUUACAUCGGUAAGAUUAGAAUCGAAAAGAUUUGGUGAAUCAAUUGUGAAGGUAAAUUCAGCUUGCUAUAAUUUAAUGAUGUUAAAUUUUAAAAUUUUGU